CACCCGAUAGUACAUGGUGUGCACCUGCUUUUCUUAACUGUGCUUCGUCGAGAAAUACAAGCAAGAGGUCCCCGUUCGACUCGGGGUCGGGUGA
Mycena alexandri is the source of this 94-nucleotide non-coding RNA. Lineage: Eukaryota; Fungi; Basidiomycota; Agaricomycetes; Agaricales; Mycenaceae. The record is from the annotation of a GenBank genome assembly.